RNAcentral lists this ribosomal RNA (245 nucleotides) under uncultured Aliidiomarina sp. RNAcentral's name for it is "partial 16S ribosomal RNA". It matches the Rfam family "Bacterial small subunit ribosomal RNA", at positions 524 to 768 of the family's 1533-position model. The record is from RNAcentral. Lineage: Bacteria; Pseudomonadati; Pseudomonadota; Gammaproteobacteria; Alteromonadales; Idiomarinaceae.
UACGGAGGGUGCGAGCGUUAAUCGGAAUUACUGGGCGUAAAGCGCACGUAGGCGGCUUGUUAAGCAAGAUGUGAAAGCCCAGGGCUCAACCUUGGAAUUGCAUUUUGAACUGGCAAGCUAGAGUUUUGAAGAGGGUGGUAGAAUUUCCAGUGUAGCGGUGAAAUGCGUAGAUAUUGGAAGGAAUACCAGUGGCGAAGGCGGCCACCUGGUCAAAAACUGACGCUGAGGAGCGAAAGCGUGGGGAG